Molecule: ribosomal RNA, 234 nt
Filed under: uncultured bacterium
Lineage: Bacteria
Description: partial 16S ribosomal RNA
Rfam family: Bacterial small subunit ribosomal RNA
Source: RNAcentral
UACGAAGGGGGCUAGCGUUGUUCGGAAUUACUGGGCGUAAAGCGCACGUAGGCGGAUAUUUAAGUCAGGGGUGAAAUCCCAGAGCUCAACUCUGGAACUGCCUUUGAUACUGGGGUAUCUUGAGUAUGGAAGAGGUAAGUGGAAUUGCGAGUGUAGAGGUGAAAUUCGUAGAUAUUCGCAGGAACACCAGUGGCGAAGGCGGCUUACUGGUCCAUACUGACGCUGAGGUGCGAA